This 253-nucleotide ribosomal RNA is filed under the name uncultured bacterium. Its description in RNAcentral is "partial 16S ribosomal RNA". It matches the Rfam family "Bacterial small subunit ribosomal RNA", at positions 524 to 776 of the family's 1533-position model. The record is from RNAcentral.
UACGUAGGGUGCGAGCGUUAAUCGGAAUUACUGGGCGUAAAGGGCGCGUAGGCUGCCUUCUAAGUCGAACGUGAAAUCCCCGGGCUCAACCCGGGAACUGCGUCCGAUACUGGAAGGCUUGAAUCCGGGAGAGGGAUGUGGAAUUCCAGGUGUAGCGGUGAAAUGCGUAGAUAUCAGGAAGAACACCCGUGGCGAAGGCGGCUCUCUGGGACGGUACUGACGCUGAGACGCGAAAGCGUGGGGAGCGAACAGG